This 65-nucleotide transfer RNA is filed under the name Bolboceratex sp. BOL01. RNAcentral's name for it is "tRNA-Phe". Lineage: Eukaryota; Metazoa; Arthropoda; Insecta; Coleoptera; Geotrupidae. The record is from RNAcentral.
ACUUAAAUAGCUUAAGUUAGAGCAUGAUAUUGAAGAUAUCAGGGUAAUAGAUUUAUUUUUAAGUA